This 516-nucleotide ribosomal RNA is filed under the name Staphylococcus aureus. RNAcentral describes it as "bacterial SSU rRNA". It matches the Rfam family "Bacterial small subunit ribosomal RNA", at positions 1 to 504 of the family's 1533-position model. Lineage: Bacteria; Bacillati; Bacillota; Bacilli; Caryophanales; Staphylococcaceae. The record is from RNAcentral.
UAGAGGUUGAUCCUGCCUCAGGAUGAACGCUGCCGGCGUGCCUAAUACAUGCAAGUCGAGCGAACGGACGAGAAGCUUGCUUCUCUGAUGUUAGCGGCGGACGGGUGAGUAACACGUGGAUAACCUACCUAUAAGACUGGGAUAACUUCGGGAAACCGGAGCUAAUACCGGAUAAUAUUUUGAACCGCAUGGUUCAAAAGUGAAAGACGGUCUUGCUGUCACUUAUAGAUGGAUCCGCGCUGCAUUAGCUAGUUGGUAAGGUAACGGCUUACCAAGGCAACGAUGCAUAGCCGACCUGAGAGGGUGAUCGGCCACACUGGAACUGAGACACGGUCCAGACUCCUACGGGAGGCAGCAGUAGGGAAUCUUCCGCAAUGGGCGAAAGCCUGACGGAGCAACGCCGCGUGAGUGAUGAAGGUCUUCGGAUCGUAAAACUCUGUUAUUAGGGAAGAACAUAUGUGUAAGUAACUGUGCACAUCCUUGACGGUACCUAANCAGAAAGCCACGGCUAACAAC